Molecule: long non-coding RNA, 3438 nt
Organism: Tympanuchus pallidicinctus (lesser prairie-chicken)
Lineage: Eukaryota; Metazoa; Chordata; Aves; Galliformes; Phasianidae
Exons: 3
Source: RefSeq, a predicted model, not a curated record
CUGCGGCUGGGAGAGGGCGCCGCGUUCCGCUGCCCGCCCGCUCUCACGGGGAUCGGUGUUGCCGGCUGGUAAACGCGCAACGGUGGUUGCGAAUGUGCUAAAGCCUAUUCAGCGUGAUGGGAUCCCUCCUUCCCUCAGCCAUUCCCACUUCGAGGCGGCUUUCCCUGUCUCCUUCUGCAGUCGUGGAGGGUUCAGCCGCGUGCCUUUGCACGAGAUGGGAGAGGCGUGCAGUCCGAACUCCCGGAGGACUCUCGUACCAACAGGAAACAAAAAAUAUUGUUUGACUGGGCUGAAUAACUGACAGUAGUGUGAAUUGUGAAGGGACGACAUCAACACAGAUUGAAUAUUCAGGCUGGAUGCUGACAUUUCUUAAAGUAUGCAUAAUAGUUGUGAAGAACAAGCACGUCUCCAGAGGCUUGCUGGGAUGAAUCCAUAAGAACUGUUACACUAUAACCAGAGAGUUUAAUCAGAGGACCAGGGGAGCUGCCAACAGUGUGUUUCCUGUUGGUUUUCACCAAAAAAAUGGGUAUCUUCAUUCAUGUGAUGUGCAGAUGUGCAGUAGGAAAGCACCGAGAUGUGAGUUGCACAGAGACCUGCUAUUUUAGGCAAAGAAUGGAUAAACAAACCUUGUAUUGUCUCUUCAAAAGAUAAAUCCACCGAAGCAGUCCAAGAUCCUUAGGAAAACUAUGUGAAUAUGAAGUAUACUCAGCCUUACAUUCUUCAGUUUAUAAAAGCUUUGGAAGAUAAAAAUACUUCAAAUUAACUUAAAUCCCGGAAAACUUCAAAAUAAAAGGAAGCACAAUGAGAACAUACACAAAUAAUUACUGCACUAUGUCAAUGUACAAAAUCUGUAUUGAACCCAUUCUUUGGCUUUUUCAACAAAUCAUAGUGUUAAUCAGCAAAAUGCUUCGUUUGUACCUUUAAAGAGAAAAAGAACUGCCUGGAGUAUCUCAGGAAAGAAACCAUCACUUCCUGCUAUCUGGAGAAAUGCUGAGAAUAAUAACUAUGAAAAACAUGCAAUUAGUAAGAAUUUACAUAUCUUUUCUGAUGUAUAGAUUUUUUUCUGCCUGGGCACAUAACAGUUUCUCACCAAACACCAGCUUCCUAACGUUUGCAAUACCAAGGGCAUUGAGUGUUGGGCUUCCUGCAGUCCGUAUGUUAGCUUAUGCUGGCAUAGGAUGAGUGCUUAAGGCUGGACUGAAGAGCCAAUGUUUGCUUCAAGCCUCAGAGUCAACACAGAGCAUAUUUUCUUUCUACAUCUUGAGGUCAAAGUGCUGUGUGAUGUGGAAGGGCAUAGAGCAGUGCUUGAUGUGUUGGACCUAAACACAUACAUCAAGCAGACAUCUUACUGUGGUGAAUAAAUCAGUUUGGUUCAGAAUCCUGUUGAAAUAAAGUCUCUUCUGUCAAUUUGAGGCUUGAAGUGGACAUCAAAUUUUCACCAGCUCUAGGCUAGCCUUCUCUACAGGAAAGUGAAGAACCCAGAAUGCAGGGUGAUGUCUUCACAGUUUCCCUUCCUUGGCCACAUUGAUUUUUAGAGAAUUCUAACUGGAUGUACAAAUUUCUUCUGGAUGACACCAGAAAGGAGAAAAUAUGUGGAGUUCUAUAAAAAUAUGUGUUCUUUAUCAUAGAAAAGUCAGAGAACAUAACACAAUUCAGCUGGUCCCAAGAUUUAAAUCCAUUAAUAGAAAAAGACUGUGAAGCUAUCAUGAAAGACAGGUGGAGAGAAAACAUGUAACAGUACCAUAAGCAAGCAGAAUCAGAGCAGAUAUACAUGAAGUGGAGGAGUUAGGUGAUGCCACAGGGGAAUUAAUUACCAGGUGCUGUAUGUUUUGAAGGAAAAAAAAAUGAGAACAUCUUUUCAAAAGGGGAAUCACAGAAGUGUAUUGAGGCUGUGGUGGCACCAGCUCUCUAACUGCCUCCAACUCCAUUGAUCUGUUUCCCCGUGGUAUCCUGGCUCCCAGGAGCUCUGUACCUCCUGCUCCAUCACACCCUCAGCAAUGGUGAAGCCCCAUCUGCCUUGGCUCAUCUCCCAGGCUCUUCAUCCACAUGAUAAAUUACUGAUAAGUUACUGGGAAGAUGUCCUGCCUCUCCUUGUGUCUGUCGAAGAAGGUGUCGGAAGGCCUUGCUCGAGGUGUUUGUCUUGCACUGCUGCUGUGGUUGCAGGCUGAAUCCACCAUUCCUCCCUCACAGCACCACCAUUGCAAGUUCCAGUGUCAGCAAGGAGCAGAAGCAGAAAUAAUACACUGGUGUCUGUCACAGAUAGCAGGAGUGAAAAAAGUUAGCUGGCUUCUACCUGCAAGAACAUUGGAGCCUGGUGUGGAACAGACCUGCAUGAGGCAGAUCCAAGCAGAACAUGCUGCUUCCCAGCAGUCCCACAGCUGGGGAUGUCUGGUGUGAGGACUUUGCCCCACGAAGUUCCAAAAUGUGUAAUGGUACUGGGCCAGUUCCCACCUGGCCUAAACCAACAUGUGUGAGUGUGCCAGGGGUGUGAAGGACCUCAGCACAGCUUCUUACAGCCAUCAAGCCUGCACCUGUUGCUCCAAGUGAGUUGCUAAAGUAGACACAGCCCAUCCUGGUUUGUUACCUGCCUGCAGACAGAAUUAAAAUGGCAAGUCUGCAAUACGCCAUCAUUUUCCAGGAAAAUAUAUUCCAUAGUACUCUGAAGGUGCAAAUACUGUAUUGAAACAAGAUAUAUUUUAUUGGCUUUGAUGGAUAGAUUCGGAAAAAGAGGAUUACCAAACUGAGACUAAUAACUGCAUUCAAUGUAUUUACAUUUACACACUUUACAUUUUAAAUAAGAACUCCAUCUGCAGGGGGAAAUGCAGUCCUGGAACAUGCCUUGUUUUAUUGCAUAGUGCCACCUAGGGGUUGGACGCUUCUAAGGUUCAGAGGGGCAAGGGAUACGAAGUCCUAUUAGUAGCAGGAUAGGUGUUAACCCAAUCACCUGUAAUUUGGAACUUAGCAAGACAAAUAAAAUGCUGCCAAGAUUUCUAUACUGUUGUAUAUGGCCAAAGAACUGUAGUUUUUACAGUUCCCUUUGGAGCUGGCUCUACUCUUACCUUUCUUUGAAGCCUGGCAGUGAUGGAGGAUGUUGUAGAUCCUGAUUUUCUCCCCUGUGAGCCAGGUUUUGCUUGUAUGUGAUCAGCAGGGAUGUUAUCUGCUGCUGCAAGGCUGGGGACAGGAUUGCAGUCUUACUGGUUUUGAGUAUGCAAGGACUUAAAGAAAGCCUUGAAUGAACUGUGAUUAUUUCUUUCCUGAAAAAUGAAAACUCCAAAAUGGGAGUUUUAAAUAUAUAUAUACAUAUAAAAUAUAAUAUAUAUAUGAUAUAUAUAUCACAUGUAUAUAUCAUAUUAUGUAUGUAUAUAUCAUAUAUAUAUCAUAAAUAUGUAUAUAAUUAUUUUUUUAACACAUUUUUUAUUCUCUCAAAGGACAUUUGAU